AACGGUCAUACCAUACUGAAAUCACCGGUUCUCAUCCUAUCACCGAAGUUAAGAUCAUCGGGCGCGGUCAAUACUUGGGAGGGUGACCUCCUGGGAACACUGCGUGUCGUUG
This 112-nucleotide ribosomal RNA is filed under the name Nephila pilipes (giant wood spider). Lineage: Eukaryota; Metazoa; Arthropoda; Arachnida; Araneae; Nephilidae. The record is from RNAcentral.